This is a long non-coding RNA of Anolis sagrei ordinatus, 472 nucleotides long. RefSeq lists it as uncharacterized. Lineage: Eukaryota; Metazoa; Chordata; Lepidosauria; Squamata; Anolidae. The record is from RefSeq and is a predicted model, not a curated record.
UGCGCCUCCUUUUCCAUGCGGCUUCCGAAGAGGACAAGAAUGCACAAUAUCCUCAUCUAUCAGAAAAUUAUCCAGACAGGCAUGGGAGUCACCUGAAAUGCAAAGGCGUCACCAGAGUUUGAAAGAAUAACAAGAUGAAAAUAAAGCACUGGAGAAGAUUGAGACAGAAAUGAUUGGCUGAAAAAGUAGACAUGGCUGGAUUGGGAUGAAACAGAUGGUGGAGCACUUCUUUUGAACUGACCAGAGAAAUGUUUUGAUUGGAUUAGGCUUCUGGAUGAGGAAGAGGCACCUGGUCUUUCCACCCCACUCUAUGGAGGAUUGGAAGCUCUACGGUUCAAAGAUUCUAGGUCAUCUGCUCCAAAGCUGAAGGUAUCAAUAGAUUCAGCUGCAAUGUUGAAUAUUCUAGAGAAGAACUGAUUUGGAAUUAAGUGCUGAUGAUACCCAAUAAAUGCACUAGUUUUACACUAGCAAA